GGGAGAUGAGCCAGUUCUGUGUGGCCAGCAAUAGACACUUCCUGUUCCUGUCUGUGGACAUCCCAUCCUCCUGCCGUUCCCAUCACUGCCGUCCGUGAGGUCAUCAUUGAAGUACAGCAGGAUUGCAGGCGUGUAGAGUGUGCCGUCCAUGUUGAGAUGGUCAAAUUCUUCAUCCUCAUCCCGGAUCCCAUUCUCUUCCAGGAGAACAUUAAUAAGAGUCUGACUGCAACUGCUAUCCAAAACACAGCAUGUGAGCGCUUCCAAAACCACCGUCACUAACGUGCGUGAACCGCUGCCCCCGGCUUAUGAGGCAGUCUCUUGUACCCUGCGAUCCGGCCAUUCCUCCAGUUCCCAACCCCGCAGACCUAGGCGGUCUGCUCUCCUCGGCUGCCCCUAAAGAGGGGGAAAAUUCUGCUCCCACUGGCUACGGAGAGCCAAUGGCCUAAAGAUCUCCUCGAAGAUUUGCUGGGAUUCCCAGUUCCCUCUGACCCACCGCCGGGCACCGGUUCUCACCUCC
Ailuropoda melanoleuca (giant panda) is the source of this 517-nucleotide long non-coding RNA. RefSeq lists it as uncharacterized. The record is from RefSeq and is a predicted model, not a curated record. The transcript is spliced from 3 exons. NCBI's taxonomy places the organism in Eukaryota, Metazoa, Chordata, Mammalia, Carnivora, Ursidae.